Molecule: long non-coding RNA, 945 nt
Organism: Homo sapiens (human)
Lineage: Eukaryota; Metazoa; Chordata; Mammalia; Primates; Hominidae
Product: MIR7515 host gene
Source: Ensembl
AUGGAAGCUGUGUUCAGGCCGGUCCACGCUGGGUGACCCAUGUGACCUGCUGCUUAGCAAUUCCUUGUCACCAUCUUCCCUUCUCAGCCUCUUUUUUCAUGCUAACAGGCAUAAAUGAAAUGAUAAAAGUUUGAGCUCUUCUCGUGGAAUUCUCGUGAUACAGAUAUGUGCUACAUGUUCAUCAUCUCGUUGGUCUUCACCAUGAUAACUGUGGAGUAAGAAUUAUAAGCAGGUCACAGAUUAGGGACUUGAGAUUGACAGUUUGGCUUCCCUGUUCUGGGUGGCAAAGCCUGUGGAGUACUCACCUACCUGCUGCAUGAAGGCAGCAUGGAGGGACUGUGGUGGAUUAUCUGCAAAGAUGGCCAAAAUUCUCUCAUCCCUGCAGGCACAUACAAGAUGGUGCCUGGUGUUCGAAGGGAGAACUUGUGGGCAGAGCAGGAAGCGUGAGUAUGGUUGAAGGAUCAAAUAUUUGGUUCAGGCAUCAGGGAGCCAGCAAGACUAUGAUGCUGGGAAACACAAGUGAUGUACUGUUGGAUUUAAUCUACUUGGAAAAAACCUAGGAAAACCAAAAUGUCAUCAACUAACACCUGAAAUGCCUCAGCACCAUCUGUCUCCAACAUUAAACAAAACCCACGAGAUUCCAGGAGAAAGAAAAUAGGAAAUUUAAUGAUGAACUUAACCUGAGUAACUUGAUAAAUGUUACCUUUGUGGCUAGCCAUUCACCAGCAAGUCCCUAAAAUGACCUGAAACCUGAAGAGUGUUUCACCCAUGAAAGGGUUUGCUCUCUCUGGGCAUGGCUACCCAGCACAUAUGUUAGUCAACUUUCUUUCCCUUGCAGGGCCCCUUGGAAAACUAGUUUGAAUCAUUCAUUAACUCAGCUCCACUCCUUCCCUUUCCCAUGGACCAUAGUUUCUUUGAGCAAUUAAAACUUAUAAGACACCAAAA